This 432-nucleotide ribosomal RNA is filed under the name uncultured bacterium. RNAcentral describes it as "partial 16S ribosomal RNA". It matches the Rfam family "Bacterial small subunit ribosomal RNA", at positions 29 to 507 of the family's 1533-position model. The record is from RNAcentral.
ACGAACGCUGGCGGCAUGCCUAACACAUGCAAGUCGAACGAGACCUUCGGGUCUAGUGGCGCACGGGUGCGUAACGCGUGGGAACCUGCCUUUAGGUUCGGAAUAACUCAGAGAAAUUUGAGCUAAUACCGGAUGAUGUCUUCGGACCAAAGAUUUAUCGCCUUUAGAUGGGCCCGCGUUGGAUUAGCUAGUUGGUGGGGUAAAGGCCUACCAAGGCGACGAUCCAUAGCUGGUCUGAGAGGAUGAUCAGCCACACUGGGACUGAGACACGGCCCAGACUCCUACGGGAGGCAGCAGUGGGGAAUAUUGGACAAUGGGCGAAAGCCUGAUCCAGCAAUGCCGCGUGAGUGAUGAAGGCCUUAGGGUUGUAAAGCUCUUUUACCCGAGAUGAUAAUGACAGUAGCGGGAGAAUAAGCUCCGGCUAACUCCGUG